ACUGUCUAAUAAAAACAAAGCAUUACGGUGUCCAUUGAUUGGUUUUGACGCAAUAUGAUUUAUGCCCAUUGCUCUGAAUGUCAAAUUGAUGAAAUUCAACCGAGCACGAGUAAACAACGGGAGUAACUAGCACUAGAGAUAUGUGCACUAGUGUACUUU
Molecule: non-coding RNA, 159 nt
Filed under: Schistosoma margrebowiei
Lineage: Eukaryota; Metazoa; Platyhelminthes; Trematoda; Strigeidida; Schistosomatidae
Description: Eukaryotic large subunit ribosomal RNA
Rfam family: Eukaryotic large subunit ribosomal RNA
Source: Rfam by way of RNAcentral